RNAcentral lists this transfer RNA (65 nucleotides) under Batrochoglanis raninus. Its description in RNAcentral is "tRNA-Cys". The record is from RNAcentral. Lineage: Eukaryota; Metazoa; Chordata; Actinopteri; Siluriformes; Pseudopimelodidae.
AGCCCCGGCCGGUAUCACCCGGCGUCUGCGGAUUUGCAAUCCAAUAUGUAAUACACCACAAGGCU